This 497-nucleotide ribosomal RNA is filed under the name uncultured bacterium. RNAcentral's name for it is "partial 16S ribosomal RNA". It matches the Rfam family "Bacterial small subunit ribosomal RNA", at positions 28 to 507 of the family's 1533-position model. The record is from RNAcentral.
GAUGAACGCUGGCGGCGUGCCUAAUACAUGCCAGUCGAGCGAACGGACGAGAAGCUUGCUUUUCUGAUGUUAGCGGCGGACGGGUGAGUAACACGUGGAUAACCUACCUAUAAGACUGGGAUAACUUCGGGAAACCGGAGCUAAUACCGGAUAAUAUUUUGAACCGCAUGGUUCAAAAGUGAAAGACGGUCUUGCUGUCACUUAUAGAUGGAUCCGCGCUGCAUUAGCUAGUUGGUAAGGUAACGGCUUACCAAGGCAACGAUGCAUAGCCGACCUGAGAGGGUGAUCGGCCACACUGGAACUGAGACACGGUCCAGACUCCUACGGGAGGCAGCAGUAGGGAAUCUUCCGCAAUGGGCGAAAGCCUGACGGAGCAACGCCGCGUGAGUGAUGAAGGUCUUCGGAUCGUAAAACUCUGUUAUUGGGGAAGAACAUAUGUGUAAGUAACUGUGCACAUCUUGACGGUACCUAAUCAGAAAGCCACGGCUAACUACGUG